Armigeres subalbatus is the source of this 1102-nucleotide long non-coding RNA. RefSeq lists it as uncharacterized. The transcript has 3 exons. The record is from RefSeq and is a predicted model, not a curated record. Lineage: Eukaryota; Metazoa; Arthropoda; Insecta; Diptera; Culicidae.
AAACUCAUUAGGGAAAGCUCGCGAGGACGGCCAUAAUACAGGAGAGCAUUCGCGAAGGUCAGGGUCAUUUGUUAUCUUUGAGAAAGAUGGGAAAAGAUUCACGAUCAAAACCGAAACUGAGCGAGCAUCCAACUUUAAACUUUUGCACUACCGAACUAUUUCGAAGAUGAUCGCGGGAAAAUCGAACUUCCGUUUAGUUCGGCCGAAGUCACCUUCCCUAAUCUGAGGGUCAAGGUUGCACUUCACUCUCGUUCGAGCUGCAGAUUAGUGUAGAAGUGUCGCGAGCUUGUCCGAGUCGAAUAACCGUUGAAUUCUUUAGAACAAAAGUUAUCUUUAGAAUAAGGCUGUACAAAGUGUGUGCGUUCAAGAAGAAGCGACAGCCUACGGCUAUAUCUACUUUGCUAGCGACGCUUCCUGCUUUUCGACGCGAAGAGUGCGGCUUCUUGCAGCCAUCAGAAGCCAGCGGCCCGCCAACACGCCGCUAUCCCAUUGCAGUGGUCAUCAAUAGCCACAACGUGGCCAGACUCAGCCUACGGCCCCCCGCGAAAGUCUUCAUCCACGUGGAAGCGCGACUAAACCGGCAUCUAGUCCCACCCUACCGCGCAACGUACCAGGAGCGCAUACACCACAGCAGCACAUCGUCAAAUUACUGCAGCUAAUCGGUGAGUCGCCUAUUCCAAUCGAUCUUUUUUUGUGGAGUGGGGCGUCCGGUGAGGACGCCUCGGAGGAAAGUUUUUUGCCGACCAUAGGUCGAGGAAUCAAGACAGAUGGACAAUCGUCCCGACGUUCAAUAACCAUUUCGGUUGAGCGGGAGUAAAAUCAAAACGUGUACACGUAGUUUUCGGAACACCCCCAACCCUAUUGUGUAAGCCACCCGGGUGCAUAUGGCUAGCUAGAUCGGUCGCCGCAUCGUCGAUUGAAAACUGUGAAUGGAGUAGCACAAGCAGAGUAGAAGCACGAAGAAUAGAAACGCACAAAUGUAGGUUAGAAUUAGAAAGUACGUACAACACAAAUUGAAAUAGAAGCAUGCUAAUAUAAUAAAUCUCCUUGUUUUUGGCCAUGAUUUUUCGUAAAUAAAUGUUUGUUAUUUAUUACCAACCAU